GAUGAACGCUGGCGGCGUGCUUAACACAUGCAAGUCGAACGGAAAGGCCCAAACUUGCUUGGGUACUCGAGUGGCGAACGGGUGAGUAACACGUGGGUGAUCUGCCCUUAACUUCGUGAGAAGCCUGGGAAAAUGGGUCUAAUAUCGGAUAGGACCACUUCUAGGAUGUGGUGGUGGAAAGUAUUUUCGGUGUGGGAUGAGUUCGCGGCCUAUCAGCGUGUUGUUGGAGUAAUGGCCUACCAAGGCGUCGACGGGUAGCCGGACUGAGAGGGUGUAAGGCCACAUUGAGACCGACAUACGGCCGCGACUCCUAAGCGUGGCCGCAGUGGGGAAUCUUGCCCGAUGGGCGCAAGCCUGAUGCUGAGACGCCGCGUAGCGGAUGACGCCCUUAGUGUUGUAAAAUAAUUUCGUUAGGGACGAGGCGUUUUUUGACGGUACCUGGACAAGAAGCCCCGGCUAACUACGUG
This 467-nucleotide ribosomal RNA is filed under the name uncultured bacterium. RNAcentral describes it as "partial 16S ribosomal RNA". It matches the Rfam family "Bacterial small subunit ribosomal RNA", at positions 28 to 507 of the family's 1533-position model. The record is from RNAcentral.